GAAACAUCCAACAAACAAGUAAAAUAAUACAUAGAAUUCUGUACAUUGCUAUAAGGAAAUAGGGUACUAUGAAAAAGUGAGAGAAAAUUGUUGGUUGUUCUAUAAUGCCAACUAUGGAUUUGCAUGGUCUGGAUCUCCCUCCAGAAAAAUCUACUGCAGAGAGCAUAGUUGAUUGAGUUUCCAGAACACCUGUGUUCCUCCCUAGCAGCCACACCAACGCCAUGCUUUCCCUAGGCUGCUGCCAGCAAUAAUGAAGAGUGGUGGCCUACUAGAGCCAGCUCAUUUCUGUCUGACAUUGAACUCCUUCAAGGAAAGGUUUUCUGAAGACUCUUCAUGAUCCUAGCCUAGAUUUUCAAUUACACUUCAAUCUGAA
Long non-coding RNA from Neofelis nebulosa (Clouded leopard), 373 nucleotides. RefSeq lists it as uncharacterized. NCBI's taxonomy places the organism in Eukaryota, Metazoa, Chordata, Mammalia, Carnivora, Felidae. The record is from RefSeq and is a predicted model, not a curated record. The transcript has 2 exons.